RNAcentral lists this long non-coding RNA (231 nucleotides) under Setaria viridis. RNAcentral describes it as "long non-coding RNA (SVIR_LNC000166)". Lineage: Eukaryota; Viridiplantae; Streptophyta; Magnoliopsida; Poales; Poaceae. The record is from RNAcentral.
UGGAGGGGAAGUGGGGAACUAUUAUAUUGUAUUGUCUUAGCUUGCUGUUUAUUUGGAUCCAAGAAAUAUUUUUUUUAGGAAUAAGGAGGGGUUGCCCCUACUGUUUAUAUAUUAUAAAUUGAAAAAAGAGGGGAUACAAAGAGUACAUCCAAAAUUCAAGAGACAAAAAAGAGCAGACUAAAAAGAACUAUGAGAAGUGAGCUAUCCACCUACCAUGUGGCUCGAUCAAGU